CUGACCUACGGGGCGCAGCAGUGGGGAAUAUUGCACAAUGGGGGAAACCCUGAUGCAGCGACGCCGCGUGAGUGAAGAAGUAUUUCGGUAUGUAAAGCUCUAUCAGCAGGGAAGAAGAAAGACGGUACCUGACUAAGAAGCCCCGGCUAACUACGUGCCAGCAGCCGCGGUAAUACGUAGGGGGCAAGCGUUAUCCGGAUUUACUGGGUGUAAAGGGAGCGUAGACGGCUGUGCAAGUCUGAAGUGAAAGGCCAGGGCUCAACCCUGGGACUGCUUUGGAAACUGUGGAGCUA
This 293-nucleotide ribosomal RNA is filed under the name uncultured bacterium. RNAcentral's name for it is "partial 16S ribosomal RNA". It matches the Rfam family "Bacterial small subunit ribosomal RNA", at positions 334 to 643 of the family's 1533-position model. The record is from RNAcentral.